This 699-nucleotide long non-coding RNA is filed under the name Marmota monax (woodchuck). Lineage: Eukaryota; Metazoa; Chordata; Mammalia; Rodentia; Sciuridae. The record is from RNAcentral.
AACUAUGUUCAUAUAUGAAUACACUACCAGUGAACCACAAGAAUGAGAUCCUAAUUAGAAUAAGUUAUAUUCCAUGAAUGUAUAAUAUCCCAAAAUACACUCUACAGUCAUAUAUAUCUAAAGAGAACAAAUAAAAAAUCAAGUUAUUUAAUACAAUUUAUCACAUGCUUAGAAAACUGGUAGCAAAUGCUUAUCUGUUAAAGGGGACUUAUCUACACAUGAGUGCUUGUAGCACUUACAAGUGAAUUUCAGAAUCAGACAAAGGGCUUACAGUCAUGGUUCUCAAACUAUAGAUUGCAUUAGAAUCCCCUGGAGGAUUUAUGUAAACAUGGAUUGCUGGACCUACACCAGAAUUUAUAAUUCAGUAGUUCUGGAAAUAGAGCCUGAAGUGCAUUUCUCAAAAGUUUCCAGAUGAUUUUGAUGCUGAUAAUCUGAAGAAAAUACUCUGAAAACCACUAUUUAGGUUAAUUUCCAAAAUGAUUUCAUUACCAAGGCAGACUGAGCUAGUGGAACUUCCCUCCAGGUCCUCCUUUGAUACCUUAGGAUCAAAAGUCUUUUCUAAAACCAAGGUUUAAGUAUGUCUGAGGCACAUUAUAAUGCCAAAGUAUAGUAAAAUCCUACCCCACUAAAUUUAAAGGAUCCUCUGCUUAAUUCUUCCUUUCUCUUUAGAUGUACAGGGUCUGACACUAUUUUUAAAAG